UGGGGAAUAUUGCACAAUGGGGGAAACCCUGAUGCAGCCAUGCCGCGUGUGUGAAGAAGGCCUUCGGGUUGUAAAGCACUUUCAGCGAGGAGGAAAGGUUGGCAGCUAAUAUCUGUCAGCUGUGACGUUACUCGCAGAAGAAGCACCGGCUAACUCCGUGCCAGCAGCCGCGGUAAUACGGAGGGUGCAAGCGUUAAUCGGAAUUACUGGGCGUAAAGCGCACGCAGGCGGUUGGAUAAGUUAGAUGUGAAAGCCCCGGGCUCAACCUGGGAAUUGCAUUUAAAACUGUUCAGCUAGAGUCUUGUAUAGGGGGGUAGAAUUCCAGGUGUAGCGGUGAAAUGC
RNAcentral lists this ribosomal RNA (342 nucleotides) under uncultured Aeromonas sp. Its description in RNAcentral is "bacterial SSU rRNA". It matches the Rfam family "Bacterial small subunit ribosomal RNA", at positions 355 to 689 of the family's 1533-position model. Lineage: Bacteria; Pseudomonadati; Pseudomonadota; Gammaproteobacteria; Aeromonadales; Aeromonadaceae. The record is from RNAcentral.